GUAGCGAAAUUCCUUGUCGGGUAAGUUCCGACCUGCACGAAUGGCGUAAUGAUGGCCAGGCUGUCUCCACCCGAGACUCAGUGAAAUUGAACUCGCUGUGAAGAUGCAGUGUACCCGCGGCAAGACGGAAAGACCCCGUGAACCUUUACUAUAGCUUGACACUGAACAUUGAGCCUUGAUGUGUAGGAUAGGUGGGAGGCUUUGAAGCGUGGACGCCAGUCUGCGUGGAGCCAUCCUUGAAAUACCACCCUUUAAUGUUUGAUGUUCUAACUCGGCCCCGUAAUCCGGGGUGAGGACAGUGUCUGGUGGGUAGUUUGACUGGGGCGGUCUCCUCCCAAAGAGUAACGGAGGAGCACGAAGGUUAGCUAAUCACGGUCGGACAUCGUGAGGUUAGUGCAAAGGCAUAAGCUAGCUUGACUGCGAGAGUGACGGCUCGAGCAGGUACGAAAGUAGGUCUUAGUGAUCCGGUGGUUCUGAAUGGAAGG
Molecule: non-coding RNA, 485 nt
Organism: Skermanella aerolata KACC 11604
Lineage: Bacteria; Pseudomonadati; Pseudomonadota; Alphaproteobacteria; Rhodospirillales; Azospirillaceae
Source: Rfam